ACGAAGGGUGCAAGCGUUACUCGGAAUUACUGGGCGUAAAGCGUGCGCAGGCGGUUCGUUGUGUCGGUGGUGAAAGCCCCGGGCUUAACCUGGGAAUGGCCGUCGAAACUGGCGAACUGGAGUGUGGCAGAGGGGGGUGGAAUUCCGCGUGUAGCAGUGAAAUGCGUAGAGAUGCGGAGGAACACCGAUGGCGAAGGCAGCCCCCUGGGCCAACACUGACGCUCAGGCACGAAAGCGUGGGGAGCAAACAGGA
Molecule: ribosomal RNA, 253 nt
Filed under: uncultured prokaryote
Description: partial 16S ribosomal RNA
Rfam family: Bacterial small subunit ribosomal RNA
Source: RNAcentral